UCCUUUUUUUUUUUUUUUUUUUUUUUUUUUUUGCAAUGAGUGUUAAAGAGUGAUAACAAGGCGUUAGUGGUUAGUAUACGAUUCAGACUGUUGUGUGUGAAUUCAUUUUAGAUGUGACAGCAGUUGGUGCUAAGGGAAGGUUAAAGUUAUAUUUAAGUUCUUUUCAACUGUUUUACUAGAAAGCAGUUUGGUGUCACAUAUUUAAAAUAAUAAUAGGGCCCUUCAAGUUGACAUUUGUUGUAGUAUAGUGAUUUGGGGAUGUCUUAGGCUAAAUACGUUUCGGGUCCCAAAACCCUGGUGUACCACUAAAAGAAAUAGAUGCUCGAAUGCUGACGAUUGGGUGAGAUGAAAUUCAAAAUUGUUUCCUAAGAGAACUUUCUAGGAAGAGAAACAACUUCUCUAAUGUAGACCGCCUCUUGUGUGAUAUCUGCUGUAUAUAUUUUAACAUCUCAACUCAGUGGUUUAUUCCCUGCUCCAUGUUAUUGGUUGUUCUGAGAAAGGGGCUCUUGGAUCCAAGUAGUAGGAAAACUUUGAUUAGAAACAAAAGUUGCAUCUUUGUGUGCUAACCUGUAAUGAAAAUUAACUGCCAAGGGGGCCUGUGGCAUAAAACCUUUGAUAAGAUACCUUGAUCAAAAUAAUUAAAUACUAUUCAACAGAACUCCUUCAUAUAGAGGUGCGAUUUGAACUCAGGUGCAAGUGAUUUCAAUGCCUCCGCUCUUAAGCUAAGAAUAAAAUAAGAUAGUAACUAACUGAACACUGCAGCGUGCCAGGCACAGCUGCUGUAAUUGAAUUAUCUCUUUGAUUCUUCUCAGUCACUUAAAUAGGUAAGGAGUUUUAUUUUUCACAUUUGGAGUUAAAGAAACUGAGUCCCGGCCUGCCUGUUUCUUGCCCGAGAUCACACAGGUGGAGCAGUGCCUGACUCCUGAGCUGUGCUGCAGAUUUGCUUACUUCCAGGAUGCUUCUUUAAUGGUGAGGUGUGAGGUGUGAAAAGGGAUCUGCAAAGCCUUAAUAUAAGUAUACAAAAAGCAAUUUCUGCUCAAAGUGCUCUGCUACAAAAUGGAAAAAUCGGAAUUAUCGGUCUGGUAGUUCAACUUGUGGGUAAUUGAAAUAGGAGGACUGCCUGUAUUCUGCUCUUCUUCUCUUCCUGGCCUUCAGACGUGCCCUUGAACUAGGAACAAAGCCACAAGGCCAUGAUGUCUGUUGUUUUCUUAGCCUGCAUGAUGGGAGUAGAUCUCUUAAGUUAUAAAUAUUCAUUUUCUUCAGUUACAUUUGGAAUGUGGUCUACGCUCAUUUAGACGUUGUGUUUUGUGGGAUAGUAGGUAAUUUCUGAGAUCCAAAGAGAAGAUUGCAGAUAUUUUUGGAUUUCAAGGAAACCUCAAGCUGGGCCACAUUGUUCUGAGUAGUGCUAAGAGAAACAGAACCAUCACCUCUGAUUUAUGAUCUGGGGCAGUAAAAUCUUGUCCAUGUGCCACACACAGUAUCUGUUUGCUCUUGAAACAAUUAGUUUAGAUUGUUGGACUCAUUGGUCCUCAGGAUUCAUAGCUCAGUUUGUUCUAACCACAGUCAUUUCAUUGUGCACUAUUUAAAGUAAUUUGACUUUUUUUUUCUUCGAAGAGGUAGAUGAGAGCUUAGAUCAAAAUGAAUUUUGUGGCACUGACAGGGACUACACGAGAGGACCAUGUCACUUUCCUCUCGUUAUUUGGCAUUACUUUCAGGUAAUAUUUUUCAUUUGAUACUUACGGUUGGUAUAUGACUAAUUUUUUGUGUGACUGAAUAGGCUAGGCAGUUUCUUCCUUUUCUAUAGUCAGCUCCUUAAGGCAAGACAUUGUCUCACAUUUUUAUUGUCUCCUGCAUAAGCUAGAAGAAUUUUGAAUGAGGAAGAGACUACGUAAUUAUUUCUUAGCUUGUGAACCUUUAUAAAUUGAGUUUGUACAGUCCUCUCUCUCAUUUUAAAACCUAAAAGGAGCGAAAAACAACAACAACCUAAAACUAGGAAAUUGAUUAUUUUGUUUUGCUUUGUUGUUGAUUUCUUCCCCCAGAAGUGGAAGACAUCUGUUGAAUGAAAGGUCAGUUGCCUAAACUUUAAAAAUUAGAUUUUGGGUCAGUAUUUUGAAAACAUGUAAUAUUUGAUUUGAGUAUUCAAGUUGUGGAGAAACGCAGUCAUUUAGAAAUGCAGUACCAGUUGGGGCACCUGGGUGGCUCAGUCGGUUAAGCGUCCGACUUCUGCUCAGGUCAUGAUCUCGCGGUCUGUGAGUUCGAGCCCCGCGUCAGGCUCUGUGCCGACAGCUCAGAGCCUGGAGCCUGCUUCGGAUUCUGUGUCUCCCUCUCUCUCUGGCCCUCCCCCGUUCAUGCUCUGUCUCUCUCUGUCUCAAAAAUAAACAUUAAAAAAAAAUUUAUAAAAAAAUAAAAAGAAAUGCAGUACCAGUUCAAGCAGGACAUACUGUGCCUCUGCUCUCACUCUCAGAUUCGUGUGUGCUUUCUUUGGAACCUUUAAGCACAACAGAUACACUGGCUACUUUCUUAUGGGAGUUGUAAUAAACUUGCCUUCUUUAACUUGAAAUAGUUACAGAUCCGUGGCUUUAGUUUCCAAAUUCUGAUCUAAAGCACCGAAUGCUUUAUAGAAGUGUAUAUAACCUGGUGUGCCCUCUUUGGAUAAUAGCAAGCCUGUGAUGGGGUAAAGGUGGGUAUGGCAUCUCAAUAGUUUGUAGAUCUAUACUUUUCGGUGAGGAUUAACUUACUUUAUAUUUAGAAGUGUGUUGAUGGAUAAAACAGGAGGGCUUUGUCUGGUUCCCCAUCUCUGCUAACCCCCUCAUUGAAGCAAUCCUUGAAUUCUAGAAAGGAAUAUAUACGUACCUUCAACUACUGCCAGGGAUUAACCAGUUUUAAAACGCACCUUGUGCUAAGGGAGAAGCCCUGGUCCACCCCCACCCUGGGAGGGAGGGGAGUGGGGGAGUUGAAAUUCUGUAGAAGAACAGCAUCUGGUGGUUGAGCACAUCUCAGAAGAAAGCACUUUCAGACAAUUUGCAAAAGGAAAUUAGGGUUAGUCAGUUCUCCCACGGUGUUUUUGUUUUCAAUUUGAGGUUAAUGUUAAUGAAGUUUAAAUAAUAAUAAUAAUAAUAAUAAUAAUAAAGCAAAGUCAGAUUGUUCCCAAGAUUAUUAUGAAGCCGGUUUUUGGUGGAUCUCUUUGGUGAGGGAAAUUUUCCAUUGCAAAAAGCAUUGCUCUUAAACUGGUACAGAACCAGUUUUGUUCUGUCUUCUGCCCUCCUCAUUUGUGAGCUACCAAUUACCUUGGAAGAAAAUUCAUGAAAGCAAAGAAGCUCUGAUUAUUAAAUAUGAGCAGAUAUCAAAGAAAAAUGCUGUGGUAUUUUGGGAAGUGCGGUUCAAGGACGUGAUUUCAAGAAGGAAAUAAUUUAUGCAGUAUUUUGACCCAGCGAAUGUCUUCAUUUUUUCCUUUGUGACGCCAUGGUAAACAGUGUCCUUGACAGGAGAGAAACACAGACAGGUCUCUUAAGUGAUUUCCUACUAGUUCAUCCUGAGAGCCAGCCGAGCUUCCUGACUCACCAGACUACAGUUUCUUCCAACAUAAAGAAGAAUUGAGUCAUUUUUUUUUCCAGUCAUCUGGUUUAUGGGGAUGUUCUUUGGUGAUAUUAAUGCACGUGAUCUCUCAAGAGAUUUAGGGGAUUCUUACGGGAUAGCAUGAAAAGGUGUUUGAUAGUUUCUAUACUCUUUUGAAAAUGGAAUUUAGUGAAUGCUGCAUUGAAGCAAUUUAAAUGUCACAUAUUCUCAGGCAUGAGAAAUGUUCUCUUAGUCACGGAUAAGAGGGAAAUCUCAUUUUGGUGCCGUCGUUCGUUUUGAGCCUCCAAAUCUAUAUAUUACCCAGUAGCUGUAAAAUGCAGGAAAUAAAGCUGAGUAUCUUCGUUACUGCUUUGAGGUACAGCAUACAACUUGAUUGCUUCCAAAUAUAUAAACUUAGUUUUCUAUUAGGGAAUUUCUCUAUUUCAUUUGUUUUCCAAGAUUGGCAUAUAAACUCAAUUCCAAAAGCUCCUGUCUUUUAAAAGGGAAAGUUCUGUAUGUGAGUUGUGGUGGGAACUACAAGCAGUAGCAUUUCUGAUGAUCCCUCCGAACUAGUUGGAAAUACAGUCUACAUCUUUAGGACAAAGUUUCUUGACUCAGAAGUAAAAAUGUAACAAACUUGGAUAUCAUAGUCUCUGUUGCAGUUCAGUUACGUUUUAUUGGUAUAGGGUGUGUGCAUAACUUUUACAGCUUAAAUGAUUACCUUUUUUACAUAAGUGAAAAAAAAAAUGGGGAGAGAACUAAGGCUGUAUUUUUGUUCAUUCCUUUUAUUAUGAGUAUACAUGUAUUCAUUUGCUCAAAAUAAUGCAGUAAGUAGAAGGCACAAUAAUGUCUUGCUGAAAUAUAGAUGUAUCAAUCAGGUGGAGUUUAGUAUUAGGCCUUAAAGGGAAAAAUAAGAUUUAUAACUUGCCGUGUUAAUGCUCUAGAGACCCUAAAGUAAAAAUUAACUUCAGAACCAUCCCAGUGCUGACUUUCUGUGACUUGGCAGUGAUCGGUGUUGAGAAUCUUUCCCCCGUGCAAACUUUUCCCUUUUUCUAGCUAUGCCUAGUGAGUUAAAGCUUAACCCAAUGGCCACAAAGCCAGCAGACUUAAUAUCCUGGAAGUCUUGUUCUCUGAUGAAUGUCUGUUUUCUUGUUAUGGUUUAUUGGCUUUGUUUUUAAUUUAACCAGAUUGAACUAUCAGAUUCAAAAGGCUGUUACUCAAGCAGUAAUUUUAUGUCAGAUUUAGUAUGGUAAGAGGAAUCCCAGUAGCGACAUCUUGUCAAAAAGAACGAAAACUAACUGAAGGGGGGAAAUCUAUAGUGUAUUUCGACUGAUGCCUAAAUUGCCUUUGCUUUGGUGUUAGGUAUUAUAUUUCCAAAGGACACCCACAGUUUGACCACAUUGUUAAAAAACUUUUUUUUAAUGUUUAUUUUUGAGAGAGAGAGAGAGACAGAGUGUGAGUGGGGAGGGGCAGAGAGAGAUGGAGACACAGAAUCUGAGCUGUCAGCACAGAGCCUGACAUGGGGCUCGAGCUCACUAGCCAUGAGAUCAUGACCUGAGCCGAAGUUGGACGCAUAACUGACUGAGCCACCCAGGUGCCCGACCACGUUCUAAAGGUACCAAGAAUUGUUGUUUCUCUUUAUUGGCUCAUAUGAUGAUGAAUACUUGGAGACCUGCAGGCCACAUGGUCCUUUGGGUGGGCUGUAGAGAGUUAAGGAUGCAACUCUUGAGUCACUGGCUUGCCUUUAUUUUACCCUACAAGAUCUUGCUUUCUUUUUCAUAUUGCUUACUGCUGGGUUGGCAAUUAAAUAAAAGUAAAAGAAUAUUUUAGGUGCAACGUGGUCAUAUUAAGUUCAAGGUUCUCUUUCAAACUUGACACUAGAAUCACCCGGUUGAGGGGGGGGGGGUGGUUGCUAACAUGCCGAUUCUACUCCUUUUUUCCCCAUCCUCAGAGAGUCUCAUUAGACAGGUGUAGGGUGGAGCUUGGGUGGGGAGCCCUGCCGGCUCUGAGGCCAGAGGCCCACCCUACUACCCUUUGUGAAAUGGAGUCUGUGUGAGAGAGAUAUAUAAAGUAUAUCAUGCAAAAAAAAAUAAAUAAAUAAAAUAAAAAAAUAUAUAUAUAUAUUAUACAAUGCAAUUACAUUUUGACUUAAUAUAUACUCACAUAUCCUCCUCCCCCCCCUUGAAAUAGACAAGAGAUUGGUAGAAAAAGUAAAUCUCCAUCUCUAUUUAUAUAUAUAUUACAAACUGUAUUUGCUAAAGUAUCCAGAUGCACCUAAAUUUAAAAAAUAAAAGGAAAAGGAAGGCAUCAAGAAGUAAUGCCCAAUUUGAUCAUGCAGCACUUUCCCAAGAAUUGUUUCUUUUCAAGGACCUAAAUAUUUAAUUUACCCUUUCCUAUCCAUUCUGGGCUCCUUCCCAAAACUACUAACUCGCAUUCUGCCACACACACCCCAGUUUAUCAGGUGGCAGUUGUUUUUGUUCCCAGAGAAAAGUUACAACUGUGAAUUGGUCAAUUAUAUCCAAACUCCAUGAAACUAAAAGGUGGUGGUGUUUUGUUUUUGUUUUUUAAACAAAAUACUGUCUGUGUCCACUGUUGUUGAACAAAUAAUGUUCAGUAAAAAUUUUAAGUGAGACUCCUACUGGGAAGUAAAUGUUCAAAUUAUAGCAGAUGUCAGUUCCUGUAACAAAAUUCAGGAAACACUUUCUGGUAUGUGGGUGUUGUAACUCUUCAGUUCUUGGAACUUUCCUUCAGGAAACUGUCCUGUCAAAAGCAGAGCAGUUGAUAAAAUAUGUAGCACAAUUCACAAACGGUGUCGUGCAGUGUAAUUAAAUUUUGAUUUGGUGCAUAUGUUUUUGCGGUCAUGAUAGAGCCGAGACUCACGUGACAUUCAUCCCGGACAAUGUGCAUCUGGAUAACUUGUUAAAUCGAUCCCCUCAUUCUCAUUGCCUUAAAAAUGCAGGUGUAUCUGAUUUACUCUGGAUGUGAAUUUUUGGUAAGUGGUAAAAUUAACCAGGCCCCAUUGCUUCAUAUAAAAGAAUGAAACAUGUUUCCUACUUAGUUUUGUGUAGAAAUUACAUAUUUUUGUCUCCUGGUCGAUAAACUGAUAUUUUACUGUAGACAUUUUUAAGUAAGAUGGCCUACCUAGUCAGUUGGUAGCUUUAGCUGUCAUGAGUUCAUGAAAUUAUGCUGUGUGUGUGUGUUUAAAGGCAAACAGAACCUCUUGAAUUAAUAUGCUGAAUAUUAAAUACUUCUAAAAGUUUGUUAAAAGGGGAUAUUUAGUGGUACAAAAUUCUGGACGGUAACACGUAGCUAACACUCUCUCUCUCUUUCUCUUUAAGUAAUGUUGACCUGCAAUUGCACUUCUAGAAAUUAUGUUUUUCUGUUAUUUUAUGGUCUGUGUAUCUCUCUUUCCCCCCCUCACUUCCCUUUUAGAGUUAAACCAUACUUGUGCUAACUCUCCAUUUUAAAAAGCUGUGUAAAUAUAAACUUUGUACCACAUGGAAGAAAUUAGGCAGCUACAUUUACUGACAUUAGCAUAGUAAAAAGAUAGAAUGGAACCCAGUGUGUUACAUUUGUUUCCAAAACCAAGUUCUAGCUGAAAGUGUUGUAAAGAAUACAGAGAUGAGUAUUGUCUGCUUGUCACUUGAUUUUAGUAAAAUCGAGAGUAAACCAAUUAAACACAGUUUUUUAAAGUGGGAACUGUGCCCAGAAGACAAAAAGCCCUAGAUUGGAAGUUAUAAAAGAUUGAAUUUGGUAGUUUCUAUCUUUUUGUUGAUAGUGUGGGGUUUUUAUAUUAAAACUCAUGAUAGGUGCCUUAUUUUAUUAUUUUUUUAAUGUUUAUUUAUAUUUGAGAGAGAGUGCGUGAGAGACAAGGUGCAAGCAGGGGAGGGGCAGAGAGAGAGGGAGACACAGAAUCCAAAGCAGGUUCUAGGCUCUGAGCUGUCAGCACAGAGCCCGAAGCAGGGCUCGAACUCACAAGCCAUGAGAUCAUGACCUGAGCUGAAGUCCAACCGAUGGAGCCACACAGACACCCCAACAGGUGCCUUAUUCUUACAAAUAGCGUCAUAUUUUUCUUAUUUUAACAGUCAUGUUUUUCUAAGGAUAAAGUGAAAAUCAUUAGAUUUACUCACUGUGGACUUUAGUUUGUAGGCUUUGAAAAAAAUCAUGACAAUUCUCAUAAGCCUAGAAUAAAACUUGGUUUCUUCCUGAGGUCACCCAUAUUCUGUGGUGAUAUCCCUCUAAGGUGUUGGUAUUAUCCAUUAUAUUAAAGAGUGAAGUGGAAACUUUACUCCUACUUCGUUUUUUGGUAUCUUGGCAAAUGACUUUUUUUUUUUUUUUUUUUUUUUUUUGGCAGGGUGGGAGGGGAGCAGAUUGCUUUAAUCAAGAUACAGUCACUAUCACCCAGAUCUUUCAUCUCUUUUGUGACUUCUCAUUUUAUCAUUUUUUCCCUCAACCCAAGUUUUUUUUUUUUCUUUACAACUUUGUAGUAUAUUUUACAUAUCCUAAGAGUUGUCCAUUUCAAGUGUGCAACUCAGUGAUUUCACUUUAUUAUGUUUACCUUCUUAAGUGGUACAGCCAUCACCAUAAAUCUUUUUUAGGACAUUUUAUCUCCCCAAUAAGAUCCCUCAUGUCCAUUUACAGGUAAUCCAUGUUCCUAGCUCCUUGCUAAAUCUUUCUGUGUGUAAAUUUGCCUUUUUGUCAUUACUUCACCUACAUGGAACUUUGAGGUUUUUUACAUCUGGCUCUUUGCACUUGUGUAAUUUUUUUGAGAUUCAUCUGUGGCAUAGCAUAUGUCAGCUUUGUCUUUGUAAUUACCAAAUAGUAUUCUGCUGUCUGAGUAUGAUAGACUGGUUGUUUCAUGUGUGUUCACAGGGGAGUGGCUAUUACAAAUAAUGCUCCUGUGAACAUUUGCGUGCAAGUCUUUGUGUAGACAUACAUUUUCCUUUUGCUUGGUUAGAUACCAAAGAGUAGAUUUGCUGGGUCCUUAGGAUAGUUUUAUGCCUUACUUCCUUUUUUUUUUUUUUUUAAUGUUUGUUUAUUUUUGAGAGAGAGAGAGAGAGAGAGAGAGAGUGCGAGCCGGGGAGGGGCAGAGAGAGAGGGAGACACAGAAUCUGAAGCAGGCUUCAGGCUCUGAGUUGUCAGCACAGAGCCUGAUGCGGGGCUCGAACCCAUGAACUGUGAGAUCAUGACCUGAGCCAAAGUUGAAUGCUUGACUGACUGAGCCACCCAGGCACCCCUAUACCUUACUUUUUUGAGAAACCACUGAACUCUUUUCCAAACUGUAUGUCCAUCCUAACCCAUGUUUAAACUGAUCUAGCUCAGUUUCUUGCAAGUUAUUUUACUGUCUUUGUAGUCAACUGGGCUGUGGAACUGGUGGUUCUGAGAUCUGAUCAAUUUUGCAUUUGAAUGUUAAAAAAUAAUGUGUUUUAAAUACAUAUGGCUAAAACACAACUGUUUUUUUCAUAGAAGAUACUAUGAAGAUUUCUAAAAUUGGUCAGACUUUGUGAUGAAGAAGCUUACAUCAAGAAGUAUUUAAAGAAAGUCAAAUUAACAUUUAAAAUAUCAAUGCAUGCUUUUGUCAAAAUUGCAAGUGAAACUUCCAACACACAACUUAUGAACCCAUCAAAUCGAUAUAUAUGUAUACAUAUAUAUAUGUGUAUAUAUAUAUUCUAUUUUUCAGAACUGCUAAACAGCCCUAGAAAUUGUCAUUUAGAUGUGUUUUUAGUAAAAAAACUUUCAGGCAAAUUUUAGCUGUUCUCAUUAGCUACAGUCUUGAAUUUGUGCAAAGAUAUGUUAUCUGAGUGGAGCUUCUGGAAAUUAUCUUUAAAACUGGGGUUUUGCUAGAAGAAGGUGGUGACCAUAUUCCCCCAAUUGGUAGUGUGUUCCAAACUUCAGGAAAAGGUGGAUCUGCUUUAUGAACAAGAAUACUUCGUGAAGUGCUCUGAAAUUAUCUGUGGGUGUAUGUGUGAUGGUAGUGAGAGUGAAUCCCCUUUUCAGCACUCCCGUUGCUAUUCUGUAAAGGAGCUGUGAGGCCACACUUAGUUGUCUCCUACAUGGCUGCCUUUAACAAGUCUGCCCAUGCGCUUUCAGCUUUGGGGCCUCAGAACAUUGUGGCAUGUGACUGGAAUUCACUGUUUCUGGGUAUUAAUUUAUCUACUUAAAGAUUAUAUCAGCAUUAAUAGCUUUAUGACUGUGGCCAAUUCACAUACAUGAACAGUGCUUUUAAUAUUAUCCAUAUCAUGUAUUGACAAAUGCCUUGUUGCUCACUGAGAGCCAGCCACUGUGUGUGCAGGCCUCUAAGCUGGUUCAUGUGGGGAGCUGUCUCCCCACAUGGAGAGGAGCUCAUAGUUGGUUGUGGGGGUGGGGGACAGAAAAUCAGCAAACAAAACUGGCCAAUGAAACAGUCGCAAACUGUUACAGCACCAUGACAAAAAACAAAUGGGGGUGUCGUGACAGAGAAUAAUGGAAUGUGGGGGACUUUGUCAGCCACAAGGACCUCUGGUAGAGUUGACUGAAGCAGAGAAAAAUCAAGUCAUGAUAUAUGUUAGAACUGCGAUUUCAGAAUGUACAUGGAAAUAAGUGAUAGUGGAAAGAAUGGCAUUUUUUAAACAGGGCAGAUAGGAUUUUAGGAAACACUGUCAUGUGGCAGUUUCUUAAAAUAAAAAUUGUUUUUGUGGAUUAAUUCGACCAAAACUCAGUCCUGUGUUUUUUGUUUUUGUUUUUGUUUUUUAAUACAGAUAAAAUGAGCUUCAUAACAUAACAUGAGCUUUUAAAAUAGAGACUGUUUUCUAAGAGUUUGCCUUAAUUGGUGCAUAAAUAUAAACAAGUUAAACAUGCAGAAAAUAAAUUUGAGAGGACAUCUUUCUUAGUUUGGAAAGCCAUCAAGUAAGAGAUGUGAUAGAAUUAGAGAAGUCCCAGCUCAGGGAGUACAGUCAUAAGGAGGUGAAGAUUUAGACAGUAAAGAGGAUGUUUAGCCUGGCUAUUAAAUACAAAGGUUAAUUUACAAAGCAACCUUUUAUGCUUGUGAAAGACUGCCAUAGGAAGUGUGGUGAAAGAUGGCUUGCACUUCUGCCAAAAACAGACCUUGAAUUAAUAAAUUAUAUAUGUUAAGGGGUUUAAGGAAAGCCCAGCAACGAACUUCUCAUUGAAGAUAAUUAAACAUGAAAAUAUAGUGGAAGGUGGAGUUCUUUUAGUCUAUUGAGAAAUAGGAAAUAGAUAAUCUCUACCUUGGAUAUUUUAGGAAGUAGCAGAUGGUUUGAGUACCUUUUUCUCAAGGGAUUUUGUGGCUUCUUGAAAAAAUGUUAUCACAACAAACUGCUAGAGGAACUGAAAGUUCUUAUGCUCUGCAUGCAUCACAGCUAUGUUUAAUUAUAUAAAGUUACUAUAAGGAUCCUGCAUUCAGUGUCACCUCAUCUCUUUUGUACCUCUAUUUACAGUUAUUUUCAAAUAAAUAUAGUUAGUCAUGGACCUUUUGUGGCCUAAUAGAUGAUAAGUCCAUGAAUGUGAACAUAGAUGUAUAUUCUCUAUUUUCAGGGUCCAGAGUCGAAUGUGGGUUUGUACAUUAGACCUGUCUUGCCUUAUUUCUAUAUUCAUUUUUUUAAAGUUUAUUUUUUGGGAGAGACAGAACAUGAGCAGGGGAGCAGCAGAGAGAGAGAGAGAGAGAGAGAGAGAGAGAGAGAGAGAGAAAGAAUCCCAGGCAGGCUCGGGGCUCAAACUCCUGAAACCGGGAGAUCAUGACCUGAGCCAAAAUCAAGAGUCGGACGGACGCUUAACCGACUGUGCCACCCAGGCACCCCUUAUUUUUGUAUUCUUAUUUUAUCCAUUCUGUGGACUAAGAGAUGAAUAAGUCACAUACAAUUAAUGAGCUUCUAUUUCUCCUAAUAAUCUUCUGAAGUUUUUGCUUUGUGAAUUUUUUUUAAUUUUUAAAAAAUUAUUUAUUUAACAUUUAUUUACUUUUGAGAGGCAGGGAGGGGCAGAGAGAAAGGGAGACCCAGACUCCAAAGCAGGCUUCAGGCUCCAAGCUGUCAGCACAGAGCCCGACACGGGGCUCGAGGGGCUUGAACUCACGAACUGUGGAUCAUGACCUGAGCCGAAGUCAGACGCUUAACUGACUGAGCAUCAGGACCCCUGCUUUGUGAAUGUUGAUGCAAUGUUUUUGAUGCAUAGACACUCAUAAUUGUUAUGUCUUCAUUUUAAGUUGUCCUCUUGAAGGUAUUAAAGUAUUUUUGUAGAAGGUUUCUUUGAGUGUUGGUGAUAAAUUUUUUAAAAAGCUGUGUCUUUACAUCUUUUAUCCAUGUAGAUUUUAUUUUGGCUUAAGGAGUGUGGGUUCUGGAUCCCCCUGUUCUCUCCCCUCAAAAGGAGCUAUUCUAUUCUCUCUAUUCAAGAGCCAUUGUCAGACUCCAUCACUAUACCUAACUUGUCCUGCUUUUGGUAUUUUCACAGAUAUUUUUCAAGAGCAGCUUGAGUAUUUUGUUUAAAAAAAAAAAAAAGUGUGUGGCCUUUUAAUAGGAUAAUUUCCUAUAAAAACCUCAUCCUGUUUUUCAGAAGCAUUAAAGUUUUAGACAGGAUUACUGUCUAAAUUUGCAGAUUUUCAUGGAAUGGAAAAGAGUAGGUUUGAGUGCCAGGGACUCCUGAAUCACUGGACAGACACCGCUUGUUUAUCUUGGACACAUUUGGGAAAUCUUGUUUGCCUCAGUUUCUUCAGGAGGAAGUAAAAAUGUACGUUUGCUCUUGUCCCGAAUGAGCGUGUUGUUAAUCUAACUCUCUAAGGGGAAUCCUAUUUCUGUGAGUGACUACAUAGGACUUUAGGCAGGAGGAGGAUUUUGUGGUCUCUGUAUUGCUGUAGAGGGGAUCUUACUUUCCUGUUUUGUUUUUAAACUUACUCUAAUUUUUUUUUAAUUUUUAAGAUAAUUUUAUUAUUAUUAUUGUUAUUUCUUUAGAUAGAGUGUGUGCGAGUUGGGGGAGAGGAGCAGGAGGGAAAGAGAAUCCCAGGCAAGCUCCACCAUCAGGGUUCAGUCCCACAGCCCUGGGAUCCUGACCUGAGCCUAAAUUAAGAAUCAGAUGCUCAAUUGACUGAGCUACCCAGGCAGCACCCCCCCCAUCCCCACUUGUAAACAUUUUAUUUUAAGUAAUCUCUGCACCCAACGUGGGGUUUGAAUUCACAAACACGAGAUCAAGAGUUGCAUGGCCUUCCAACUGAGCCCUCUACGUGCCCUGAGAAGUUUUCACUUUCUAGCAGACUUUUUUCAUUCACGUUUCCUUGACUGUAAUAGAUAUAAUUUCUACUUUUUGAAAUACUCUGUAGUUCAGUAAAACAAAAGAAUAUAUUAAACUUAAUUGUAAUUAAAAUGAAAGAGAAACAUUUUCGUAAUUUUUAACAGCUUGACCAAACAUUUUCUUCUGUUCCUUUUCUACUUUUUCUUUAUAUGUUAAAUGUUACCGCACUUUGAAUCAUUCUUGGUAUAUAUUUGGUAGGUGAUGUGCUCAAUGUAUAGGGGGAAAGGUGAGGUGGGGGUUACUUGAGGCAGUUGUGGUUUUUUUUGUUUUUUUGUUUUUUUAGAUUUUCAUUUUGUCUUAAAUUUGAAGAGGAACAUAAGACUUUGAGAUCUUUUUUAUGCCUGGAAAUGCAAUGAAAUGGGUUUGGAGCACAGAAGAUAUUUUGCAGAAGCAGCUACGAAAAUCAUGUGAUGAAGGUUAGGCCCAAGGCUGAACCCAGAGUGUUUCUUCACUUAUGGUGCCAAAAUGUCAAACGUGGUACAAUAAUGGAAAACAGCGGUUUUGAUUAAACAAAGCAUACAAACCAUGCUUGAGUAAGACAGCUUACCUUCUGCCUAAGUUGGUUCUUUUGGUGGGAGAGAGGAGUGCUCUAAGGGAUCCUUAGGCUUAAUAGGAACAAAAUAUGAGCAAAAUGAAUUCUUUUCGGAGUAUUUGUUGGCAAACUUGGGUACUUUGAAGUACAGACAUUGUGUAUCAUUUUAGUAUAUGAUAAUAGCAAUCAUUUGUGCAUUGUUAUAUUCCGAGUCAGAAAUUUGCAUAUCUGGUAUCACUGAAUCUAUAGCAGAAAUUAUCACUCUGAGUGUACAGGUGAAGAACUGAGA
Molecule: long non-coding RNA, 13652 nt
Organism: Panthera uncia (snow leopard)
Lineage: Eukaryota; Metazoa; Chordata; Mammalia; Carnivora; Felidae
Exons: 2
Source: RefSeq, a predicted model, not a curated record